AGUCCUUAACUGCCAGUGCUGUGACAAACUGUCUUUUCCAAGGUCAUUUUUUUCCUGCAUUCAAUAUCAAUGAUUAUGUGAGAUAGGCUAUACUCGAGAUCAAAAUCCCGAGAAACUGAAAACACUGUUUGUUUGGUUGGUGUUGAUGUAUUUUGACUGGCAGUCUCUCAUUCAUAAGACACUGAGGUGAUGUUGCUGUGUGCAUGAGAGUUCCUCCUUGUAUAUGCCAGUGAGCCUCUCGCUGAGCUGCUCAUGUGAAGCGUCAUAGACAGCCUUGUCCCCUACUGCAGUCUCCCCUGACAUAUAGAUUGGGUUCCAUUUAAAAGCCCUGUUCUCUCACCGUUAUUUACUCCAAUAGUAAAUCUUUACAAUGUUGUAAAGACUCUUUUACACACUCGGGUUAUACAAUCUUCCUACUGCAGCAGCCAGACAGGCAUGUGUCAGGAAACAGAAGGAGAGGAGACCUAAAACUAUUUAUUGGUUUUAAAUUUGCAAUGGAGAGUCACAUACAACAAAAAGGUGAAUAUAGGUGAAAAACACAUUGAACAUUCAAUUUCCUCAGUCGUACAAUUAAAAUGAAUGUAAAAGUAUUGAAAUAUAAGCCAACGUUUUGGCUCCGUUUCCAUUCAAACCGUAAUAUGGUUUGCUGAUGCAAAUGUACUGUAAAUCUGCCCUGCUAGCAAAAAUUAAUGUCAAACCAAGUUUUAUUCAGAUCUGAUCUAGACUAUUUAGGUAGCAAAUGCUUAAGAGUACUUUUGGAUGAGAACAACCUAAUGAAGCCCUUUUUUAUCAAGUUUCAACAAACAGAUGACAACAUUGUCAAAACUAUCCCUUCAAGCUGCCAAAAUGAAUGAAAAUAUAGCCAUUUGAAGUUGACGUUGGCUCGCCAACUGCUGGUAAUCCAGGUUUAUCUAAAAUAAUACGUUUAACAGUGAAAAUUUGAGUUAUGGGAGUAAAUUCACUGGAGACGCUUUAUCAAGCUCAUUAUGUUAAGCAACAUACAGGGGUUCCUCCAUUAUUGUUUUGGAUGUUACGUACAGACGUUUUACAUGUGCACGCCCUCUGUUUCCACAGACUAAUGUAUUUCACUUUAUAAAAUGGAACUAAUGCAAUUGUUAAAAACAUUUUGUGUUUAAAUUGAGACCCGCUUUAAAAAAUAUUAUUUCGAUUUUUGGUCCCAUAAAUGUCCAUCCGAUAAACAAACUGCCAAAAUGACAGUUUUGUUUUUGUUGUCAAACGGCCCUAAGCCCGAGUUUUGCCUGCAUGGUGUUUGCCAAACAUUGAAGAUGAGGCUCCAGCUCACCCGCGACACUAGUGAGGAUAAGCGGCAUAGAAAAUGGAUGGACGGAUGGAUCCACAAGUGCUGACCCACGGAUCCUCCGAGGUCACUCGGCAUCAGUGUAAAUCAUUCAGCUUAGACAUACUCAAGGUCUUUACUUCAUUAGAGGACAUAUGCUCCACGUGCUCCCAUUGCCUCGGCUCAUUGCUGACCUCGGCUUUGCGGCCCUGCCCGGGCGCGGUGUUGCUACAGCGCACAUCACCAAGUCACACCGCGGGGUAAUAAUUACCUCAUUUAGGAGCAGGGAGGCGGACCGUGCUUUGGCAUUUAUUGGUGUAGACGCCAGAUGACUUGAAAAAGAUGCAAGGCUUAGAAUUUAUCUGUCUCCCUGGACCUGCUGGGUUUCUGUUGCGAGCAAGGUAGACCGUGAGAGAGGAUGAGAGCGUGUGUGUCUGUCUUUCGGUUGAUGUUUAAUACCGGUUGGCUGUUGACUUUGGUGUACUUAUUCUUUGAUGUCAGUAACAUGAUCAUCAAGGAUUUUUUAUUUCCCCCCCCCCUAACCCUACAGUUUGUUUUGCACUAUAGCAGCUACACGUUCCCUCUCAUGAAAUCAGCCACACUGGCUUUCCGAAAAUCCUAUGCUACUGAAUUUAUAAGGGAUACCCAACUGAAAAUGUACACUCAAAAGAAAGAUAAUUUGGAAUAAACAAUAAAUAAUUAAUCAGAGUGGUUAAAUAAGUAAUAGUGUGAUAUCUAUUUCUUUGGUUUCGCUAUUGCCACGCUUUAUUUAUUAAUGGCCAUAACAGACACAGUGUCUCGCCAGGAAGAGCAAAGUCUAAAAAAAUAAUAAUAAUAAAAUAAACUCCUGAGAGGUUCUCUUGAAGAGAAUCCUUUCGGGGAAGAGAAAAUUCAGCGUCAUCUAUCUCGUGUGCUGUUUUGUCUGUGAGGUGGAGGGACACAGAGUUCAGUCUAGCCUUUUUAUUUGGAUGGGUGCUGGGGCAGAGGGUCAAGGAGUGACAUGAAGCAGCUGCGGAAUCCUGAUCAUAAAGACUCCCCCACCUCAAUUUAACUUCACAUGCGCAGAAGCAUAUUAUUCCCAUCUUCAGGUCUCCUGUAAUGGUCAUCUGAACGCUCUCCUUGAUGUCAUCCGCCGGAGGAUAUGCAGCUUUCGCCUGAGAGAUAGACUGUCUUACCACAAAUUAAGCGAAGGCGUCUGUGAAAUAUCCCAAACUUAACUCCUCACUCAAGAGGAGGAGGCUCAAAGCAGCAAAGACGCCGAGUCUGAAGCAGAGUCUAAAGCAAUUCAGCACGAAGAUGCUAACAACAACAUGGCUCCUCUGUGAAUAGUAUCGGUCAGCGCACACAUGUACUUGGUGGGUGUGUAGUGGGUGUGCUCAUAAAUUGGAGCUGCAUACAAUAACAGGUAAAAAAAAAAAAAAAAAAAUCAAUGGCUUCAAGUUUGGCAUCACAAAUAUUGCAUUGUUUUCUGAUUUAUAAUGCAUGGGCUGGUACAUUGAUUUUACAUCAGUAUUUACUGUACAUUUAACAACUGGAUGAGUUUCUAACCACAUUACUUAUUUUUUUUCCAGAACUAUGUUAAAGGCUAGAUGAGCCCCUGACCCCGUGGGCUGAAGAAUCAUUAUGGACUCAUAAAGGUCCCUGAGCCAAGCCUCCACUCAAUAAGGC
Phyllopteryx taeniolatus (common seadragon) is the source of this 2965-nucleotide long non-coding RNA. RefSeq lists it as uncharacterized. Lineage: Eukaryota; Metazoa; Chordata; Actinopteri; Syngnathiformes; Syngnathidae. The record is from RefSeq and is a predicted model, not a curated record. The transcript has 3 exons.